AAGUUAACGCUUCCGUUGUCGAUCUACAAGGGUACGUAGAUCACACUCUCCCCUCUCGUUGCUAUGCAUCACCAUGAUCUUGCGUGUGCGUAGAAUUUUUUUUGAAAUUACUACGUUUCCCAACAGCGCCAUGACUGCGUCCACAGCAUCCCGACACCAUGUUCAAGACCAAGUUCUAACCCACAUAUCCAAUCUCCCUCCAUGGAUCUUGCCUCUCAUUGACCAAGAUCAACAAUUACACUCAAUUUCAGAUUUACAAAAGAGAUGGACCUAGAGCAAACAACCUGUGAGGCUUGGUUCGUGUACAUCAACAACGUUGUAUGAUGGUGAAGUUUCUUCACUUCCCCUGACCAGACGCUGCAUGCUCUGCUCACUGAAGGUGCCCGCUGUUUGUGUUUGGAUGUUGUUGCUGCCGUAUGUCAAGUUGAGGAGGCGCUCAUGAUUCUGAGCUUGGCUCUUCCUGACUAGCUCGUCACCAGGCUCACAACUGCGGAAUCAUAGGCGCGAAACGCUUCAAGGUGUCCGCCAAAGCCCGUGUCAUUGAGCAGAAAGUUGCCUCGCUCAACCAAAUUGCACCUGUCAUUGAUGCACGGCGAGGGCACUCGGAAUCUGGUGUUUCUCCGUUGCGAAGCAUGCGAUGUUGAGAGAAAAGAGGGAGACUGCACCGGAGGAAAGCGAAGCAUGGUAGCAGGUAUGAAGAUGAGAGCAUAAUGUUCUCUUUUAGCAAAGGAUCCAUGUUUCUAUUUUUUUCAUCCCAUUGCAACGCACGGGGACCUUUGAUUUGAUUUAGUAUUAUCUUAUACUGUAGAUAGGGAAAUAUGGACACUAAAUAUCCAUUUCUUAGGUGUCAACCUGGUACAUUAGGCUGUAUAUAGUACAUGGCAGAGGUCUUCCAGCUACUAAUUCA
Molecule: non-coding RNA, 907 nt
Organism: Triticum urartu
Lineage: Eukaryota; Viridiplantae; Streptophyta; Magnoliopsida; Poales; Poaceae
Source: RefSeq, a predicted model, not a curated record